Molecule: ribosomal RNA, 549 nt
Filed under: Bacillus safensis
Lineage: Bacteria; Bacillati; Bacillota; Bacilli; Caryophanales; Bacillaceae
Description: bacterial SSU rRNA
Rfam family: Bacterial small subunit ribosomal RNA
Source: RNAcentral
GGAGCUUGCUCCCGGAUGUUAGCGGCGGACGGGUGAGUAACACGUGGGUAACCUGCCUGUAAGACUGGGAUAACUCCGGGAAACCGGAGCUAAUACCGGAUAGUUCCUUGAACCGCAUGGUUCAAGGAUGAAAGACGGUUUCGGCUGUCACUUACAGAUGGACCCGCGGCGCAUUAGCUAGUUGGUGGGGUAAUGGCUCACCAAGGCGACGAUGCGUAGCCGACCUGAGAGGGUGAUCGGCCACACUGGGACUGAGACACGGCCCAGACUCCUACGGGAGGCAGCAGUAGGGAAUCUUCCGCAAUGGACGAAAGUCUGACGGAGCAACGCCGCGUGAGUGAUGAAGGUUUUCGGAUCGUAAAGCUCUGUUGUUAGGGAAGAACAAGUGCGAGAGUAACUGCUCGCACCUUGACGGUACCUAACCAGAAAGCCACGGCUAACUACGUGCCAGCAGCCGCGGUAAUACGUAUGUGGCAAGCGUUGUCCGGAAUUAUUGGGCGUAAGGGCUCGCAGGCGGUUUCUUAAGUCUGAUGUGAAAGCCCCCGGCUC